UGUCUUCUUCUGGAUCAAAUCAAGCGCGAAAAGGGCGUUUGGUGAAUGCCUUGGCAGUAAGAGGCGAUGAAGGACGUGAUACUCUGCGAUAAGUUAUGGGGAGCUGAGAAUAAGCUUUGAUCCAUAAAUUUCCGAAUGGGGCAACCCACCUGAUACUUUGUUAUUAAUACUACUUAUUGUAGUGCCGUUUAAGGGUUCGCCCUUGGGUAGCGUUGCAUGCGGUGGGGCAUAAUAAUAGGGUAAACCAGGUAUUUAUAACUUGAAUACAUAGGGUUAUAAAAGCAAACCCGGGGAACUGAAACAUCUAAGUACCCGGAGGAAAGGACAUCAAUUAGAUACUCCCCUAGUAGCGGCGAGCGAACGGGGACCAGCCGAGCCAUGAGUGUGACUAGAAUGUGUUGGAAAGCACAACCAAAGUGGGUGACAGUCCCGUAUAGGAAGCAUGAUUGGACGUAUUAAGUAGGGCGGGACACGUGAAAUCCUGUUCGAAGAUCGGAGGACCACCUCCGAAGGCUAAGUACUCCUUACUGACCGAUAGUGAACCAGUACCGUGAGGGAAAGGUGAAAAGCACCCCGACGAGGGGAGUGAAACAGUUUCUGAAACCGGACGCCUACAAUCAGUUGGAGGGCCCUUGCGGCCUGACAGCGUACCUUUUGUAUAAUGGGUCAUCGACUUAGUGUAUCUAGCAAGCUUAAGCCGUUAGGUGUAGGCGCAGCGAAAGCGAGUCUUAAUAGGGCGAUUGAGUUAGAUGCAUUAGACCCGAAACCGAGUGAUCUAGGCAUGACCAGGUUGAAGGUUGGGUAACACCAACUGGAGGACCGAACCCACAUCUGUUGAAAAAGAUCGGGAUGAGUUGUGCCUAGGGGUGAAAGGCCAAUCAAACUCGGAGAUAGCUGGUUCUCCGCGAAAUCUAUUUAGGUAGAGCGUCAUCCGAAUACCCCGGGGGGUAGAGCACUGGAUGGGUAAUGGGGCCCCACAGGCUUACUGAUCCUAACCAAACUCCGAAUACCCGGGAGUAAUAGAUGGCAGACACACUGCGGGUGCUAACGCCCGUAGUGAAAAGGGAAACAACCCUGACCGACAGUUAAGGCCCCUAAUUCAUGGCUAAGUGGGAAAGCAGGUGGGACGACCAAAACAACCAGGAAGUUGGCUUAGAAGCAGCCAUCUUUUAAAGAUAGCGUAACAGCUCACUGGUCUAAUUAAGUUGUCCUGCGGCGAAGAUGUAACGGGGCUCAAGCCAUGAGCCGAAACUUCGGAUGCAUUUAAUGCAUGGUAGCGGAGCGUAGUGUGACAUAGUUCCAUGCGUCCUUCGUUUUAUAGCGGACUGCCCAGGCUUUCGAGCCUGUGUGGAGGCGCGUAAAAUACUGGACGCAAGGAGCUUUCUGUGAAGCCGGCCUGUGAGGGAUCCGGUGGAGAGAUCACUAGUGAGAAUGAUGACAUGAGUAACGACAAAGGGGGUGAGAGACCCCCUCGCCGAAAAUCCAAGGGUUCCUGCUUAAAGCUAAUCUGAGCAGGGUAAGCCGGCCCCUAAGCCGAGGGCGAAAGCCGUAGGCGAUGGGAACCAGGUUAAUAUUCCUGGGCCAGGAGGAAGUGACGGAUCACAAAGAUUGUUGGAUCAGGCGUAGUUGCCCCAGCAGUUCAGUGGUUCCUGGAAAUAGCCCUCCAUCAGACCGUACCCUAAACCGACACAGGUGGAUAGGUAGAGUAUACCAAGGCGCUUGAGAGAACUAUGUUGAAGGAACUCGGCAAAAUACCUCCGUAAGUUCGCGAGAAGGAGGCCCGGUUUCUAGGCAACUGGAAGCUGGGGGCACAAACCAGGGGGUGGCGACUGUUUACUAAAAACACAGGGCUCUGCGAAGUCGCAAGACGACGUAUAGGGUCUGACGCCUGCCCGGUGCCUGAAGGUUAAAAGGAGGGGUGAGAGCUCCGAAUUGAAGCCCAGGUAAACGGCGGCCGUAACUAUAACGGUCCUAAGGUAGCGAAAUUCCUUGUCGGGUAAGUUCCGACCUGCACGAAUGGCGUAACGACUUCCCCGCUGUCUCCAACAUAGACUCAGUGAAAUUGAAUUGCCUGUCAAGAUGCAGGCUUCCCGCGGUUAGACGGAAAGACCCCGUGCACCUUUACUACAACUUUACACUGAUAACAGGCACAACAUGUGCAGAAUAGGUGGUAGGCUUUGAAGCAGAAACGCCAGUUUUUGUGGAGCCUCCUUUGAGAUACCACCCUUGUUUUGCUUGUUAUCUAACUGCGGUCCGUUAUCCGGAUCCAGGACCCUGUAUGGUGGGUAGUUUGACUGGGGCGGUCGCCUCCUAAAGCGUAACGGAGGCGCGCGAAGGUUGGCUCAGAGCGGUCGGAAAUCGCUCGUUGAGUGCAAUGGCAGAAGCCAGCCUGACUGCGAGACUGACAAGUCGAGCAGAGUCGAAAGACGGCCAUAGUGAUCCGGUGGUCCCGAGUGGAAGGGCCAUCGCUCAACGGAUAAAAGGUACGCCGGGGAUAACAGGCUGAUGGUGCCCAAGAGUCCAUAUCGACGGCACCGUUUGGCACCUCGAUGUCGGCUCAUCUCAUCCUGGGGCUGGAGCAGGUCCCAAGGGUACGGCUGUUCGCCGUUUAAAGAGGUACGUGAGCUGGGUUUAGAACGUCGUGAGACAGUUCGGUCCCUAUCUGCCGUGGGUGUAGGAUACUUGAGAGGAGUUGCCCCUAGUACGAGAGGACCGGGGUGAACGAUCCACUGGUGGACCAGUUGUCGACUACGGCAGUGCUGGGUAGCUAUGAUCGGACAGGAUAACCGCUGAAAGCAUCUAAGCGGGAAGCCCCCCUCAAAACAAGGUAUCCCUGAGGACCGAGGUAGACCACCUCGUCGAUAGGCCAGAGGUGUAAGCGUGGUAACACGUUCAGCUGACUGGUACUAAUGGUCCGAUAGGCUUGAUUUGAUCCAGUAGAAGGCA
This 2946-nucleotide ribosomal RNA is filed under the name uncultured Roseobacter sp. RNAcentral's name for it is "bacterial LSU rRNA". It matches the Rfam family "Bacterial large subunit ribosomal RNA". The record is from RNAcentral. Lineage: Bacteria; Pseudomonadati; Pseudomonadota; Alphaproteobacteria; Rhodobacterales; Roseobacteraceae.